CAGAUAAUAUAGAAGACAGCGCGCUAGCGGAUCUAGUCUGUGUUUAUCUAUGGUCGGCAGGUCUGGUAGCAUCUCUGACUGCUGUUGACCUUGUUUUUGGAGUAAAACACGGUGGAAGCUGAAUUAGUGAGGAUGACUCCUGCUCCUGUCAUCUCUAAGCUCCUCACACAUCUUUACCUGCACAUGAGGAAAAUCACUCCUGUAGAAUGCAGAUGUUCAGAGGGAGAUGAUGCCACAUCUGGUCCAGCAGAUGGAAGGUCUUGAAGUUCUCUGACUGGCCUCGACUGAAG
Amphiprion ocellaris (clown anemonefish) is the source of this 290-nucleotide long non-coding RNA. RefSeq lists it as uncharacterized. The transcript has 3 exons. The record is from RefSeq and is a predicted model, not a curated record. NCBI's taxonomy places the organism in Eukaryota, Metazoa, Chordata, Actinopteri, Pomacentridae.